GUUGAUCCUGGCUCAGAUUGAACGCUGGCGGUCAGGCUCUAACACAUGCAAGUCGAUUCGGUAGCACAAGAGCUUGCUCUCGGGUAGACGAGCGGCGGAACGGGUGAGUAAUGUCUGGGAAACUGCCUGAUGGCAGGGGGAAUAACUACUGGAAACGGUAGCUAAUAAACCGUCGUAGCCGGAUCGUACGUACGUAGCGCUACGUACGAUCGUAACGGCGAUCGGCUACGGCAUAGCAAUACGCGAGCUAGUAGGUGGGGUAACGGCUCACCUAGGCGACGGAUCCCCUAGCUGGUCUGAGAGGAUGACCAGCCACACUGGAACUGAGACACGGUCCAGCACUCCUACGGGAGGCACAGUGGGGCAAUAUUGCACAAUGGGCGCAAGCCUGAUGCAGCCAUGCCGCGUGUGUGAAGAAGGCCUUCGGGUUGUAAAGCACUUUCAGCGGGGAGGAAGGCGUUAAGGUUAAUAACCUUGUCGAUUGACGUUACCCGCAGAAGAAGCACCGGCUAACUCCCGUGCCACAGCCGCGGUAAUACGGAAGGGUGCAAGCGUUAAUCGGAAUUACUGGGCGUAAAGCGCACGCAGGCGGUCUGUCAAGUCGGUAUGUGAAAUCCCCGGGCUCAACCUGGGUAAGGUUGUGCCCUUGAGGCGUGGCUUCCGGAGCUAACGCGUUAAGUCGACCGCCUGGGGGAGUACGGCCGCAAGGUUAAAACUCAAAUGAAUUGACAAUGCUAGCUACGUAGCUAGCUAGCUAGCAUAGCUAGCUAGCAUAGCUGGGGGCCCGCACAAGCGGUGGAGCAUGUGGUUUAAUUCGGAUGCAACGCGAAGAACCUUACCUGGUCUUGACAUCCAGAGAACUUUGCAGAGAUGGUUUGGUGCCUUCGGGAACUGUGAGACAGGUGCUGCAUGGCUGUCGUCAGCUCGUGUUGUGAAAUGUUGGGUUAAGUCCCGCAACGAGCG
This 963-nucleotide ribosomal RNA is filed under the name Klebsiella pneumoniae. Its description in RNAcentral is "bacterial SSU rRNA". It matches the Rfam family "Bacterial small subunit ribosomal RNA", at positions 11 to 1098 of the family's 1533-position model. Lineage: Bacteria; Pseudomonadati; Pseudomonadota; Gammaproteobacteria; Enterobacterales; Enterobacteriaceae. The record is from RNAcentral.